CGCAGAGUGGAGCAGUGGUAGCUCGUCGGGCUCAUAACCCGAAGGUCGUCAGUUCGAGUCUGGCCUCUGCAA
RNAcentral lists this transfer RNA (72 nucleotides) under Aureispira sp. Its description in RNAcentral is "tRNA-Met". It matches the Rfam family "tRNA". Rfam says of the family: Transfer RNA (tRNA) molecules are approximately 80 nucleotides in length. Their secondary structure includes four short double-helical elements and three loops (D, anti-codon, and T loops). The record is from RNAcentral. Lineage: Bacteria; Pseudomonadati; Bacteroidota; Saprospiria; Saprospirales; Saprospiraceae. RNAcentral also lists the same sequence under 1 other name.